GCUGGGCCUGGUGGCUCACACCUGUAGUCCCAGCCACUCAGAGGCUAAGGUGGGAAGACCACUGGAGCCCAGGAGUUUAAGACCAGCAUGGGCAAGAGAGAGGGACCGUGCUU
Molecule: small RNA, 113 nt
Filed under: Marmota monax (woodchuck)
Lineage: Eukaryota; Metazoa; Chordata; Mammalia; Rodentia; Sciuridae
Source: RNAcentral